This 434-nucleotide ribosomal RNA is filed under the name uncultured bacterium. RNAcentral's name for it is "partial 16S ribosomal RNA". It matches the Rfam family "Bacterial small subunit ribosomal RNA", at positions 29 to 507 of the family's 1533-position model. The record is from RNAcentral.
AGCGAACGCUGGCGGCAGGCUUAACACAUGCAAGUCGAACGGGCAUCUUCGGAUGUCAGUGGCAGACGGGUGAGUAACACGUGGGAACGUACCCUUCGGUUCGGAAUAACUCAGGGAAACUUGAGCUAAUACAGGAUACGCCCUUUUGGGAAAGGUUUACUGCCGAAGGAUCGGCCCGCGUCUGAUUAGCUUGUUGGUGGGGUAACGGCCUACCAAGGCGACGAUCAGUAGCUGGUCUGAGAGGAUGAUCAGCCACACUGGGACUGAGACACGGCCCAGACUCCUACGGGAGGCAGCAGUGGGGAAUAUUGGACAAUGGGCGCAAGCCUGAUCCAGCCAUGCCGCGUGAGUGAUGAAGGCCUUAGGGUUGUAAAGCUCUUUUGUCCGGGACGAUAAUGACGGUACCGGAAGAAUAAGCCCCGGCUAACUUCGUG